AUUGAAACACUAGUUCUCGUAUGAUCACCAGAGUUAAGUAAUGUUGAGUCUGGUCAGUACCUAGAUGAGUGACCACUUGGGAAUAGCAAGUGCUGUAA
Acanthosepion pharaonis is the source of this 98-nucleotide non-coding RNA. NCBI's taxonomy places the organism in Eukaryota, Metazoa, Mollusca, Cephalopoda, Sepiida, Sepiidae. The record is from the annotation of a GenBank genome assembly.